This 72-nucleotide transfer RNA is filed under the name Camelus dromedarius (Arabian camel). It matches the Rfam family "tRNA". From Rfam's summary of the family: Transfer RNA (tRNA) molecules are approximately 80 nucleotides in length. Their secondary structure includes four short double-helical elements and three loops (D, anti-codon, and T loops). The record is from Rfam by way of RNAcentral. RNAcentral also lists the same sequence under 1 other name. Lineage: Eukaryota; Metazoa; Chordata; Mammalia; Artiodactyla; Camelidae.
GCACGUGUAGCUCAGUGGUAGAGCGCGCGCUUAGCAUGCACGAGGUUGUGGGUUCAAUCCCCAAUACAUUCA